CAGCAUUCCUAGCUGGCGAGCAGAAGGCUGGGACUGAGGGAGGCGGCAGGCUGGAGGAGAGGCAGGGAGAGCUGAGGGCCACGGGCCUGGGAGUGUGGGCCAGGGCCCGGGGUCCGGGGCCCACAGCCUGGGACAGUGGCUGCAGGAACGGGUUACUGAGCGGAAAAGGGGGAGGUGUGAGGGCGGGUACGGACAGAAAGGUAGGGAAGAUGGAGACUGAGAUGAGAUUUUUUUUUUUUAAAAGCUGCAGGAAAGAAGCAAAAACUAACAUGAGUUCUUCCCCUCUAAGUAAGGAGGUUUCAGAAUCUGGAAAUUUGGUCAAAUCAUCUAAAACAAACUUAGGAAAACACCAAAAUGUCUGACUUUCUGUCGCUGUGGGAAGCAGUUUCCUGUUCCUGUUCUGGAUGUAAGGCUGCAGUGGAUGUCCAAUCAGACGACAGGACCGCUGAUAAUGUCAUAGCGACGAACGUGACAUCAUGGCCAGGGACUCGCGGAGAGAAGACAAGCGGAGCUCCAGACAGAGAGCGAGGCUGCGCGGCUCCGCUCGCCCGGCGAAGGCAGCCCGGCGGUCGGAUCGGAACCGCGCGGACUCCCGGGGGCUACGGAGGGGAGGCGGCAUGCGGGACGGGACGCAGCCGGACCUGGAGCAGCUGCCGCCGGACUCAUUUGGGCCGCGGCGACGGCUGAAGAUUUCCUGGGGAAGUUGAGCGAAACGGCGAGUUGCUUAAUUUGCGCCAAUCAAGAGGAGAGGAAGACAAGUCCCGAAGUGGCAGCAAGUUGAACUGCGAUGGAGAGGAGAAGCCCCGAGCGUGUGGCUCUGCGUGUCCGUGUGCAUUUACGUAACAUGAGAUUAAAGACACGCCCUGGCAGCGAUUGAACCAGACGGCAGAAACUGGGACCAGGUGAUGCUGAUGGAGGAACGUCGUCUCGCCUCAACAAAUGAAGAAGAUUUCACACUCCAACACACACAGUGAAUGUGUAAAACUGUUUCCAGGUGAAGAGAAGCAGAUCAGAAGGAAUCCAGGUGAACUGGAAUAACACGGAAAAACGUGACUGUGCUGGUGCAGUGAUGGGAUGAUGUGAGCAGCGCUGUAUCUGCCGGCCCCCAGAGCUUCCUUUGUGCUGUUGGAAUUAACUACGACUCGUCACGUGUAACCGACUGCUAACCUCCAACCCCAUUCAGGAAUCGUCGCCUGUGUGUGUGAGAGGGGCAGAGAAAGGAAGAGGUCAAGCUGUCACAAACACAAGCAAAACCAUUGUUCCCAAUGGAAAAGCACAGAUGCACUCCGACCAGAACAAACACACCAACGGAUAUACUUGCAAAAACUGUAGAUCUCUACUCUGAAUCUGCUGGAAAUGAAGCAUGAUUUGAUGAAACUGCACAUAUUAAAAUAAACUGAAAUGUGGUGCGAUUUCAACUGAAAUUUGACGUACUAUUAUAAUCAUUUACUUAGCAAACUUAGUCAUACAUAGAUUGAGCAAUUUCUUUAUGAAUUAUUUAAUUUUCUUCAAUGACUAUUUGGAGCUUUUUUGUUUGUUCAACAAUAAGACUGAUAUUAAUUUCACAGUAGGAUCUAUAGACACGUUGCAGUGUGAGAUCCCGCCCUCUGCUGCUAGCUGACGAUGACUAGCAUUGGUUUUAGCGGUCAAGUUGCCAACAUAACGCUAAAUCUUAAAUGUCUGGGUGACAUAUAUAAGAGAAAAUAGAUCCUUUGCUACUAAUGGUCAACCCUACGACAACUGUUUAUUUUGUGAUUAUUAACAUUAGCUAAUCUAACACAGCUGUGGCUGACUAGCUAAUUUAAUCACCUGCUCAACUGACGAUCUGUCUGAGUUGGUGUUUAGGUCGCCUUUUUUUUAACUAAACUGAAACACCAAAUUCAGCAGCACAGCUACUUGUUAGAUUGUCAUAGUCAAGCUAGCAUAACUGAACAACUUCCCUGUCCCUUGCUGUUCUUUUUGUAAAUUAAAACUUUUUCCUGAUCUUGUUAUCUGUCUGUUGUAGUGUAGCAAAGCACUGCGUCCUUUUUCUUUAAGAUAUCACAGGUACAUUUAAUAUUUAAAUGUAUCUGAGACUCUAAACAACUUUAAUUUAUAGACAAAUAACCAUCUUUAAAUGGUUAUUUAUAGAUGAUUGUCUUAUUAAAAGCUGUUAUUUAAAGUUGUUAUUUAAAGAUGACGUUGACAACUUUACAGCUAAAGCCAAUGAUAGCCUCCUUACUUGAGUGUCUCUCUAUGCAUGGUUAAUGAAGAAGAGUCGUGAAUAAGUGCGGGUUGUGUGUGAGGAUGAAGACAUCGACCGCCUGAUGAUACGAAUCACAAUACAGUCUCAGUCUGAGACACAACAGCAGACAAAACGCUUUUCUUCUCAUUUAUUUCUAAUAAAUGAGAAGGAACUCAGUUAUGUCAAAUCCCAUUUUCUCUUGUCUACAGUGUUUUGUAUUUUCUCAGAGAUUUUCUUCAUUUUAAAUAUUUAACUUAACAUUAUUUGACUCAUUUUUGAGCAAAUCUUAAAUUAUGACCUGUCUGUUCUGUUCCUUGGUUGUUUGUUUGCUAAUGUUCUCCAACUGUAGAAGAAAUAAAUUUCUGGUAAUUAAUGGGAUAAAAUGCGGUUGGUGGUGAAAUGAUAAGAACCUAUAUGGUGCCAAUUUGUCCAUUCAGCAGCCAGGACAGCCCAGACUGGGACAAUGGCCAAGUGCUUAAGUGGUUUUACGCAAAAAAAAAGUGUUUUCCUUUUUUUAAGCAAUUUGUUUGAAAUUCCUGCCUGUGAAAAGAAAUGUAUUGUAAUGUAAAAACACAUUUGUCACUCAAAACCAUACAUUAAAGGAGGGAAAUGCUGUAAUGGGCAUAAAACCUGAUAUAAGAGGCCCUAUCACGUGGCAGAACACAGCAGGAAGGUGUUUAUUAUGCUGUCACAUCUCAGCAGGAUGCAGUCAAAUAAAUGCCUGUUUGCUAAAAGAAAAAAAAAAGUGUGCUUGAUUGUGUUUUAUUUUGUGAGAGUUCAAUUCAGUUUAUUUAAAUAGCGCCAAUUCAUAACACGUUGCCUCAAGGCACUUUGCAAAAAAUAAAAAAUAAAGACAAUUCUUACAAUCAUACAAAUUCCAAGUUAAGUACAAACAUUCAAAUUUGAUCCUGGUUACCAAACAACACAGUCACGCUCCGUUUAUUAUUCUGAUUGAGAAAAAACGUUAAACGUCAAUGACUAGCAGCCUUCACUUUUCCUGAACAUGAAGCAACAGCAGACAGUCACUGGCAUUGUGUCUUUAAUAUUAAAGAUGAUUUAUUAUGAACAUUUUUAUACUUCCAUUUGAGUUUCUACAGCUACAAGAGGUCCAAGUGCUUAAAAAACAACCAACCUACCAACCCAGCUGUUUUCGACAACAUGUUUAUGUUUUUUGGUGUUUAGAAAAUGAACCAUUUCAAAAACCUUCAGAAUGUUAAGUCACAAUCAAAUGGGCACUGCCCCGUUACCUAGCAACCCCAGUCGAGCCCAUCGCCUAGCAACCCAAGAAGAGCACCAGCACGUUUGGCCAACUGGUUUUACUGCUGUACACGCUGUACAAUGGCUGCUGGAAAGGACAAGAGUUUGUUCUACAGUUGCAUAAUUGCACAUCUGUUUGCAGCCAUUUUGUAAUGAGUCUUGGGGGCGUGGCCAGCAGCAGCUUAUUUGGAUUUAAAGUGACAGGAUGCCCUAAAACAGCUCAUAAAAUAUGCAGAACUGAGCAGACAGUAUCUCAGAAUGCCUUUGCGUAAACAAUGUAAAGAACAUUUUGUAUAACCCAUAGAUUUAUCCUAACCUAUUCAAGGAAGCAUUAUAGGUCUCCAAAUAUUGAGCAAUUAAAGUCGGAGCAAGAGGAAUGUUUAAAACAUUUUAUUACUGGCAAAGGCGUGUUCAUUCGGCUUGGGACUUCUAUGUUCGCUGUGAUGGAUAAUUGUUUACGCCGCAAGCAGCGGUAAGCUUAGCAGCAUAGCUUCUUCACAAUCAAACUAGCACAUUACAUAAGUCAUGGGCAAAUAGAGAUUGGGUAAAGAUUAAAACUUCAACCAGAGUUCACACCUCCUGGAAGCCAUUGAUUCUCAAUAGUUGAUGGUCAAGCGAAGCGUAGAACAAGGGGCUGAUUUCUACCGGGUUACUAUCAUUCCAAAUAUUAGCUGGCACAAACUGUUUAGCUAAGAUAUUAUUCUACUUUCUAUAAACAGUCGAACUAAACAUAUAAUAAAAAACAAAAUCUACCUUUGCAGAAUUUUCAGGUAUUGAAAUCUCCUUGUGUAACAAUCUUCCAAGCAGUGACAUGAAGCUAAUAUUUCUGAGCCAUGUGUUACAGGAUACUCGUUUAGCUUAAAGUGUUACAAAGCAACCGAACAACCUCUAACAUUUGACCGUUAGUUUUCUGGAUUAUUUCUUUGUUGCCUUCAGAUGAAAUCCUAAUCACCUUAAACAGGAUCUCCUCCGCCAUUGACCAGUGAGCAGCUUUAGUGCCGUGUGUGGCUGCAUGAGGACAUGUGUGCUGCUCAAUCAUUUGGAGCAUGAAGAACAGAAAGAGUUUGCAGAUUAAGGGAAACUCAGGGGAUUAAGGUCAUUUCCUGUGUUUAAGCUGUAAAUUAGCCUUUCACUACCACAGGGGAAAACAUACUGAGUGCCACAGUACUGCUCAGGAAAACUUAUACAACUGUCUCCCAAGAAACUUCAGACAGAAGAUUAACCUAUUUGGUUAAUGUCAGAUGAUAUCUGGAUAUUUUUCUGCUCUCAGGGUGUUUUCACACCUGAUAUUCUGGUAGAUUUGGUGCAAUUGGGGACCAAAGUUGCAACAUUUGGCUGCUUUCAUACUGCACUGUCAAACAAUCUAAACCAAUCAAAAUCCCAUUUCCCCUCCAGGCCUGUGGGGGCGCUGCACCAAGACCCACUGAAGGAAACACAAGAAGCACAAAAUUCUGCAGCGUUCCAGUUACUUGAGUUUGAUUUGAUGUCCGACCAGAAUAUUGGCGUUUUAGUGAAGACGCUGGAAUUUCAACAUGGCGACACCCAAAAUCGUAAUUUUAGGUUUUACUUUUCAUACGCAAACACCACUUUCAAUUUGUUCAAAUUAGAGUUGCAGGCACUGCAUGUAACACUGAUUUUAGACUUUACUCUGUCUUUUCCACGUGUAUCUUGUAAAAUAAAUAUGUUUCCACCAAAUCUUACGAUGAGGAGCGACCAUCUUGAAACGCAAAGUUUGCCUUACAAGUUGUAACUCGUGGUAGUUGGAGUUGAAUAGUGCAGUUUUUUUGUAUUAUAUGGUGUAUAAACCUUUUAAAAUAUCACAAGUAAGGCUACACACUUUAGGAAACCAUAGAUCCAUAUUGCCUGUGCAAAGAUUGUAGUAAAUUUACAAAUGUUUUAUAAAUAUUGUAGUAAACAAAUAUCUAAGCUUUAAAACAUUGGCACAGGAUGGCACCAUCUACAAAACUGGGGAUUUUCUGUGUCUUUACUCACUAAACCUAUUUUUGAAUAUCCAAAAUUGCUCCUUUUUGAUUUUUUUCUUUUAUACAUUUAUUUAUUUAUUUAUUUUAUUCAAUUAAAGUUAAACAAUAAAUUGUUAUUUCUGACUAAAAUGAAGUGUACUUUUUGGAAAUCCAGUGUAAAAUAAUUUAAAUAAAAUUAGGCACAUUUUACAGAAAAACCCCCAAAUUAAAACCACCAAAAUAUAUACUUUUGGCACUACCAGAAUUCCCUACAAUUUCUUUUUGAUGAAGGUUCCUGGUCACUGACAUCUGGAAAUCUCAAAUGCUUUUUAUCAUUUUCUGGCUUAGAGUCUGACGUUUCCAUGGAUACCAAAUAUAUCUAUGAUGAACAGUGUGGAGGUGCAGUAAUGGGUAUAAGGGGAAAAAAUUUAAAAUCUGCCCCCUGUUCCAGGGACUUGGGGAAAAUGCAUUAAAUUUUAAUGUGACUUUGUUAUUUCCCCUCAUAGAAAUAACAUUUUCAACCUGUUAGAAAAACUUGUGGACAUUGUGCUGCACAUAAAACAUUAGUUACAGUUUAA
Molecule: RNA transcript, 6020 nt
Organism: Xiphophorus hellerii (green swordtail)
Lineage: Eukaryota; Metazoa; Chordata; Actinopteri; Cyprinodontiformes; Poeciliidae
Gene: sox2
Gene name: SRY-box transcription factor 2
Exons: 5
Source: RefSeq, a predicted model, not a curated record